RNAcentral lists this long non-coding RNA (1141 nucleotides) under Anser brachyrhynchus (Pink-footed goose). RNAcentral describes it as "lncRNA (ENSABRG00000001645.1)". Lineage: Eukaryota; Metazoa; Chordata; Aves; Anseriformes; Anatidae. The record is from RNAcentral.
AAAGAUCUCCCGUUAAUUCUUGUGUCAGUUCAGUGGGAAAAGGGAACAUGGCCUUUCUGUAGCAAUGUGCUAUAAGUUUUUGCCUUUUUAUGUGCCUGCUGCUGUACACCUCCUCGGCCAAAUCUGCUUUCUUUGGCUUUCCAGUUAUUUAAACCGGUGUGGUUUGUGGACCUUGUGGUGCACUGUGUAAGUUAAUGUCAGGCUGAAUGCCACCAGCUACUUGUAAGCUGCUGAUGGCAGUCUCCAACAGCUGUUCUGUAGGUGCCACUUGUCAGAUGCUACAGUGAUAUAUCCAAAGAAGGGACCGCGCACCUGGCAAAGCGGUUUCCUUCAGCUCUUCCCCUGCACGAAUGCUUAGGAGCAGCAGCACUCUCUCAUCACUGCUGGAGUAAACAUAUCUCCAUGACUUCCCUUGUAAAGUUCUUCAGCUUUUUAGGGCAAAGAUCCAUCUAUUAAGUUCUUUGAAUGAUGAGUAGACUGCUUUGGUUACAUUACACCACUGUUUGUUUCAUACCUUCCUUUUUCUCCCCCUUUAGCAUCACUACCUCUAAAGUGAUUCAAAGAGAAAGCUGCAGUGAUUGUUUGGUACUGCUGGCCAGCUGACAGCCCUGGAAAGCUCCGGACCCCAAUGCUUUCACAAGCCCCAUGCACACGUAGUGCAGCAUCGCCUCAGAUCUGUGGAGAUGAUCCAGCCUCCGCGUGCACCAUCUCAGCUUCUUCCCACCCGGUCUCUGGGUGCAGCAGUUCAAAAGCCCCCUGAGCCUGGGGCCGCGUGCUACACCGAAAUGUUCAAUCCUGCAUUUGAAUAAGCUGAAUAAAUCCAGCCAUACUGCUAAACAUAUGGUCUGAAAUAAACCCAACAAGCCCAACCCCUGCCCACCUGGAAACACGAGGAGUUCUCCCAGAAAGACCCGACCUUGGCCUUCUGCAUCCCAAAGGGCAGCUGAUGGCAAUGGGUUUUCACCCCUGUUCCCCUGGGCCUGGGCAGCAGGACGCCUCACGCUCUGUGGUGGAGCUGAGAGCUCUGUGAAACACAGCCCUGCCAGGUUACGUACUGUUGCGGCUCUGCCUGCCCUUAACCAUCUGUGCGAAUCUCACAGUUAUUGCACCCAGCAUCAGGUUUAUAAUGCUUCUGGUCUGC